GGGUUGUCAUGCCAAUGGCACUGCCCGGUAGCUAAAUGCGGAAGAGAUAAGUGCUGAAAGCAUCUAAGCACGAAACUUGCCCCGAGAUGAGUUCUCCCUGAGACUUUAAGUCUCCUGAAGGAACGUUAAAGACGAUGACGUUGAUAGGUCGGGUGUGUAAGCGCAGCGAUGCGUUGAGCUAACCGAUACUAAUGAACCGUGAGGCUUAACCUU
Molecule: ribosomal RNA, 213 nt
Filed under: Enterobacter hormaechei
Lineage: Bacteria; Pseudomonadati; Pseudomonadota; Gammaproteobacteria; Enterobacterales; Enterobacteriaceae
Also listed under: 3 other names
Description: partial 23S ribosomal RNA
Rfam family: Bacterial large subunit ribosomal RNA
Source: RNAcentral